Molecule: microRNA, 22 nt
Filed under: Haemonchus contortus (barber pole worm)
Lineage: Eukaryota; Metazoa; Nematoda; Chromadorea; Rhabditida; Trichostrongylidae
Description: hco-miR-5897b
Source: miRBase by way of RNAcentral
UUUUGUAUGCCUUAUCUGGAAU